Molecule: long non-coding RNA, 628 nt
Organism: Populus nigra (black poplar)
Lineage: Eukaryota; Viridiplantae; Streptophyta; Magnoliopsida; Malpighiales; Salicaceae
Exons: 2
Source: RefSeq, a predicted model, not a curated record
CAGAAACACAUAAAAGUGAAGAGAGAGGGAGAGAGAUGAGGUUUUUGUGGUUGGUCUUGCACUUAUGCUGCUUAAUGCUUCUCUUUUCUUCUUCUUCUCAGGUUACGAUGAAAUAUUAUCCAACUCCUCCAAGGAUUAAUACCGACAGAGGCCGCGAUAGAGAUCGGGCAAGACCUGCACCCCCGCCUCCGAGAGGAAGACCACCCGGGCGUCCCUGAGCUAUAGACUAGGUUAUAUAUAUGUAAGCUCUUGGAUGAUCACGUGAUUAUUGUAGGUCAUGAAUUCUUAAAAUUCACCUAGAUAAUUGCAUUUCCCGUUCAAAAACUUGUUAUUUAUUUAAAAGAAAAGAAAACUUGUUAAUUAAGUGGAUCAUCCACAAGUUCUUCCUGUUUAAUUACUUCGGUAAUUAGGAAACUCUCCAUCUUUGUUUCUUUAAUUUUCGUUACUUCCGAUGUAUAAUGUAAACAUGUGUUUUUUCAAGGUUGUUCUUCCUGUUUGAUUACUUCGGUAAUUAGGAAACUCUAUCUUUGUUUCUUUAGUUUUCGUUACUUUGGAUGUAUAAUGUAAUCAUAUGUUUUUUCAUGUAUUAAUUGGAAGGCACAGGGAAGAAUGUCGACUAUUUAGAGUA